This 3326-nucleotide long non-coding RNA is filed under the name Xyrichtys novacula (pearly razorfish). Lineage: Eukaryota; Metazoa; Chordata; Actinopteri; Labriformes; Labridae. The record is from RNAcentral.
CAUGCGGUCACAUGUGUUGGCGCGAGGAGGCGGCGUUAGCGACGAUCUACAGGUUAGCUUAAGCUAAAUCACGACGUUUUUUACUUUAACAACAAACGUCUUUUAAUGCUUUUAUACACCGAAUUGUUGGAGCCUUCUACCAUGCCUUUAACGGUGUGAAGAACGUGUUGUGUGUCGAUCAACCGAGGACGAGUGAGUUUGUUAUUGUUAGCGUGCUAGCGUUAGCUUAGCCGAGCUCAUUCAUCUCAAUGUAAGCGGUUAGCUAAACUGUUUGGUCACAAAUCUGCUGUUUCUACAAAUGAAAGAAGAAUAUCUGUAAUUACAUUCAGAUGGAAAUAUGUUUCUGUUAUCAUCUGUAUUAUUGGAUGUUUAUAUUGUCAACUGUGAACCUACUGAAUAAAGUCAGGUUGUGUAAAAACUCACAACUUUAAUGUAUUUGAUUAUUAUAUAUCUGUGUAAAUAUCAAUUAAACAUGCUAAAUGACAUUAUUCAUGCUGUUCAGUGAUAAUGUAAGUAGUAUUUACUUCUUUAAUAAUAAAUAUUGAAUUUAUGUAAAUGAACUAUAGCUCAACUAGACUAGUGCUUUAAAUGUAUUAUGUGUACAUGUACAUGUAUAUGUUUGAAUAGUGAUUAAUUUUAACUGUGUUUCUGAUCCUCAGGUCAGGUCCACAAUAGAUGGCGAGCUAAGGAGCAGGCCUACAGCCUUCAUCGACCCCCAGUCUCAUAUGCACCUCUCCUCCCAGGCCGGUAGGGAGCUCACUGGAGCCCACUGAAACUCGUACACCCAUUCAUUCAAUCAUCACCCCUCAAUUCACUCCCAUUUCCCCUGAAAACUUUAAUGGCCACAUCUUCACAGUACAUAUCUGCACUUUUUCUGUAAAUAAUAUACCACAUCAUUCAAAAACAGUUUCCGCCUCCUGUCCAGUCUCUUAUCCAACUCUCUCCUUGAGGGAACCAUAGUCUUCUGAUUACUAGUCCAUCACCAAAUGUUAUUGUGUUAAUCAUCAAAUAGAUAUUAUAGAUAUGAUACCAAUAUAUAUAUAUAUAUAUCACCGGCCACUUUAUUAGAUACACCAUGCUAGUAACGGGUUGGACCCCCUUUUGCCUUCAGAACUGCCUCAAUUAUUCGUGGCAUAGAUUCAACAAGAUGCUGGAAGCAUUCCUCAGAGAGCUUGGUUCAUAUUGACAUGAUGGCAUCACACAGUUGCCGCAGAUUUGUCGGCUGCACAUCCAUGAUGUGAAUCUCCCGUUCCACCACAUCCCAAAGAUGCUCUAUUGGCUUGAGAUCUGGUGACUGUGGAGGCCAUUUGAGUACAGUGAACUCAUUGUCAUGUUCAAGAAACCAGUCUGAGAUGAUUCCAGCUUUAUGAAAUGGCGCAUUAUCCUGCUGAAAGUAGCCAUCAGAAGUUGGGUACAUUGUGGUCAUAAAGGGAUGGACAUGGUCAGCAACAGUACUCAGGUAGGCUUUGGCGUUGCAACGAUGCUCGAUUGGUACCAAGGGGCCCAAAGAGUGCCAAGAAAAUAUUCCCCACACCAUGACACCACCACCACCAGCCUGAACCGUUGAUACAAGGCAGGAUGGAUCCAUGCUUUCAUGUUGUUGACGCCAAAUUCUGACCCUACCAUCCGAAUGUCGCAGCAGAAAUCGAGACUCAUCAGACCAGGCAACAUUUUUCCAAUCUUCUAUUGUCCAAUUUCGAUGAGCUUGUGCAAAUUGUAGCCUCAGUUUCCUGUUCUUAGCUGAAAGGAGUGGCACCCGGCGUGGUCUUCUGCUGCUGUAGCCCAUCUGCCUCAAAGUUCGACGUACUGUGCGUUCAGAGAUGCUCUUCUGCCUACCUUGGUUGUAACGGGUGGUUAUUUGAGUCACUGUUGCCUUUCUAUCAGCUCGAACCAGUCUGGCCAUUCUCCUCUGACCUCUGGCAUCAACAAGGCAUUUCCGCCCACAGAACUGCCGCUCACUGGAUAUUUUUUCUUUUUCGGACCAUUCUCUGUAAACCCUAGAGAUGGUUGUGCGUGAAAAUCCCAGUAGAUCAGCAGUUUCUGAAAUACUCAGACCAGCCCUUCUGGCACCAACAACCAUGCCACGUUCAAAGUCACUCAAAUCACCUUUCUUCCCCAUACUGAUGCUCGGUUUGAACUGCAGGAGAUUGUCUUGACCAUGUCUACAUGCCUAAAUGCGCUAAGUUGCCACCAUGUGAUUGGCUGAUUAGAAAUUAAGUGUUAACGAGCAGUUGGACAGGUGUACUUAAUAAAGUGGCCAGUGAGUGUAUAUAUAGAUAUAAACCAAUACUCAUUAGUCUGUGUACCCACUUACAUCUGACACAGUUUCUACACAUCUACAACAUGUUGUCUGUAAUCAUGGGGCUUACAAAUUUUAAAGGUUGCACAAUUUUGGGUGUCUUUUCUCCCGGCAGCAGAACAAGACGACACAUAAACAACUAUGCAGAUGAACACAUGUGCAGUCUAUCCUCCAAACAGCCAUCAAACCUACAUAGAGCAGCCAGUACUCAAGUCCGAGUCUGCACUGCAUGAAUCCUAAAGACUUGAGUUCUACUCGGGUCCGACUAAAGCCUCUAUUCAUAUAUUUGGGCUCAGUCAUUUUCCUCCUCUGCUACUUCCGUAAAUGUCAGUCGCUGAACUUUUUUGUGAUAUUCCUCCAAAGACACUCUGCAGCAUCCUUCUGGAAACUAUCCUGACGUUUAUUUUCCUUUUUUUAAGAGUUAGAGUCUGAUUGCAAAUCAAGAUAAGUGCACACCCACUCGGGUCGCUCAGAAAGACAUUUUUAAUCCAGCUGACUUUGCAUUGAGACAUCGGUGGAUGACAGUUUUCGCUGUACCAUGUAACUUUUCCCUUCCACUGUCUCUCCGUGAAGCCACUUAAGAUUCCUCUUUAACUUUGAGGCAUGAUCUGUUUGUCGAUUGGCCCCGGCAGCUCUGAAAAUGUAUUUCAGAUGUAAAUCCUGAUAAGUUUGUUCAGCAGAAUAUGAAAAUCUACCUGUUCCCGGCAGUUUAGUUUUUAUUGAAGCCACAGGGGAAAUAGGUUUGUUAACAGCAGCAGUGAGGGGGAGUAGAGAUUACAGAGCAAACAGUGAGGAGAAAAAAAAGUGUGAUGAAGACGAGGAAUACAAAUAAAAUCAUGAUAAAGUGUGUGUCGUUAUAUGAAAGUGAUAAAAUAUUAAUGAAACAUUGUGAAACUGUGGGAGAAGAGAAUGAAUUAUUGAUUCUGACUCUGCUAGUUAAAGUCUGACGGUGUGAAACUGUGUGGACUGAAACGGAUACAGUAAAUAGAUUCCCCCAAUUUUCAGAGGUGGACAAAUAACACAGAGC